CCAAAGGCUCUUUUCAGAGCCACCUACAAAUCUUGCAGAAAGAGCU
This is a non-coding RNA of Fukomys damarensis (Damara mole-rat), 46 nucleotides long. The record is from Rfam. Lineage: Eukaryota; Metazoa; Chordata; Mammalia; Rodentia; Bathyergidae.